Molecule: transfer RNA, 75 nt
Filed under: Inhella inkyongensis
Lineage: Bacteria; Pseudomonadati; Pseudomonadota; Betaproteobacteria; Burkholderiales; Sphaerotilaceae
Also listed under: 2 other names
Description: tRNA-Arg
Rfam family: tRNA
About the family: Transfer RNA (tRNA) molecules are approximately 80 nucleotides in length. Their secondary structure includes four short double-helical elements and three loops (D, anti-codon, and T loops).
Source: RNAcentral
CUCGCCAUAGUUCAAUGGAUAGAACGGGCCCCUCCUAAGGGUCAGAUGUAGGUUCGAUUCCUACUGGCGGGGCCA